CCUACGUGGGGCAGCAGUGAGGAAUAUUGGUCAAUGGGCGGAAGCCUGAACCAGCCAAGUCGCGUGAGGGAAUAAGGCCCUACGGGUCGUAAACCUCUUUUGCCGGGGAGCAAGGGCGGGGACGUGUCCCGGCCCGGAGAGUACCCGGAGAAAAAGCAUCGGCUAACCCCGUGCCAGCAGCCGCGGUAAUAAGGAGGAUGCGAGCGUUAUCCGGAGUUAGUGGGUUUAAAGGGUGCGUAGGCGGUUGGAUAAGGUAGAGGUGAAAUCCCCGGGCUCAACGUCGGAAUUGCCUCUGAUACUUUUCGGCUAGAGAGUAGGUGCGGUAGGCGGAAUUCGUGGUGUAGCGGUGAAAUGCUUAGAUAUCACGAAGAACUCCGAUUGCGAUGGCAGCUUACUAAACUGCCACUGACAUUGAUGCUCGAAAGUGUGGGUAUCAAACAGGAUUAGAUACCCGGGUAGUC
Molecule: ribosomal RNA, 461 nt
Filed under: uncultured bacterium
Lineage: Bacteria
Description: partial 16S ribosomal RNA
Rfam family: Bacterial small subunit ribosomal RNA
Source: RNAcentral